Molecule: ribosomal RNA, 466 nt
Filed under: uncultured bacterium
Lineage: Bacteria
Description: partial 16S ribosomal RNA
Rfam family: Bacterial small subunit ribosomal RNA
Source: RNAcentral
GAUGAACGCUGGCGGCGUGCUUAACACAUGCAAGUCGAACGAUGAAGCCCAGCUUGCUGGGUGGAUUCGUGGCGAACGGGUGAGUAACACGUGAGUAACCUGCCCUUAACUCUGGGAUAAGCCUGGGAAACUGGGUCUAAUACCGGAUAGAAGCGCCUACCGCCUGGUGGGUGUUGGAGAGAUUUAUCGGUUUUGGAUGGACUCGCGGCCUAUCAGCUUGUUGGUGAGGUAUUGGCUCACCAAGGCGACGACGGGUAGCCGGCCUGAGAGGGUGACCGGCGACACGGGGACUGAGAGACGGCGCAGACUCGAACGGGAGGCAGUAGUGGGGAAUAUUGCACAAUGGGCGAAAGCCUGAUGCAGCGACGCCGCGUGAGGGAUGACGGCCUUCGGGGUGUAAACCUCUUUCAGUAGGGAAGAAGCGAAAGUGACGGUACCUGCAGAAGAAGCACCGGCUAACUACGUG